CCUCUUCCGUUCUAUCAAGAAGGUGGUUUUCCCAGGGCGAGGCUUAUCCAUUGCACUCGGGAUGUGCUGACCUCUGCGAUUUCCCCAAAUGUGGGAAACUCGACUGCAUAAUUUGUGGUAGUGGGGGA
Leopardus geoffroyi (Geoffroy's cat) is the source of this 128-nucleotide long non-coding RNA. RefSeq lists it as uncharacterized. The record is from RefSeq and is a predicted model, not a curated record. The transcript is spliced from 3 exons. Lineage: Eukaryota; Metazoa; Chordata; Mammalia; Carnivora; Felidae.